Cotesia glomerata is the source of this 1695-nucleotide long non-coding RNA. RefSeq lists it as uncharacterized. Lineage: Eukaryota; Metazoa; Arthropoda; Insecta; Hymenoptera; Braconidae. The transcript has 5 exons. The record is from RefSeq and is a predicted model, not a curated record.
UCCCGCGUCCUUAUGUCACAUUCUGUAGUUCAUUGCGCGAAUGAUAAACAAUAUUUAUUACACAGGUGUUGUUUUUAUUAAUAAAUAAUUUUCAUUCCUGAAGCAUCACCAUAUCUUAUUUUACAUUUGUGUAAAUAAAUAUAUAAUAUACGCACGUGGCAUUUUUUUCAUCGCUAUUGCUGGCAUUAUAUUUUCACGAGCACCUAUCAAUUGUUUAGAUCAUAUAAAAGAAGAGUGGCCACGUGAUAGUGUUUUUCACGAUUGAUUCUUGACAAAUUUAAUAAGCAUUCUUUUAAAUUUUUAAGUAUAUAGAUUUAUAAAUGAUGAACUGUCAAUUGUUGAUAAGGAAGCAGUUACAAUAGAGAAAAAUAGAAUGAUCAAUGGCUUCAUAUUAUAUUGAUAUUUUAGUAUUUUAAUUACAUUUAUCUAUGGAAUAUUUUUUCUUUGGGUAUUUUUAAAAUGAAGUGAUAAUAUUGAGUGCGUUGAAAUUCAUAAAAAGUUUUAAUAUCCGAGCGAAUAUAGUACACACUUUUUAUAAAUCAGCAUCAAAUAUGAAAAUAAAUUGACCUCGUUGCAAAUAGUUUAAAAAUUCAAACAAGUUUAUAAUGAACAAAAUUUUUUUAUUGUGAAAAUGAAUCACAGAGACUAUUUAUUCGCCAGAGUUUAACUACUUAUAUUUAUAAAUACUCGAUAUUUACGUAGAGAAAUUUAAAUAUGAAUAUCAUAAAUUUAACAAAUAUCACUGACCCAAUUCCGUUGAUUAAAUUUUGUAUGAUUUUUGAAAAUGAUUGAAACAAGUUGGAGUUUUUUAACAGCAGAGCGAACUUGUAACUCGUUAUAACUUCUGAGAAAGUUGUGAGUCAUCAAAAUUCAAACAAUUUUCUUACUUUAAACGAUACAAAUUUUUUCUUUUGUAUUGUUAGCAACAAUUUAUAUUAGUUGAAGGAUUUAUCAUUAUUAAACUAAAAAACUAACUAUAACAUUUUUUAAUGGUAAAUAAGCCCGAGCUUAUUAAUCAUUUAAACUGAUUUAUGAAUAAAUAAACCAUAAUUACUUAUAUAAAAAUGGCAAUACCGCUUUUGAAACCACUUAUCUCUAGAUUUAAUUGCUCCAUUGCAGGAACAAAACUGACCAACUGAUGAAUCUUGGUAUCAAACGUGAUGCUGCAAAUUCACAAAAAUUCAAGCUGCUGUGCCGCUGCUGGUCAGGUCUCUAGCUGGAUUGUCUUCUGUUGGUAUUUCAUCGCCGGCAGUUUGUUCUUCGACAAACUAAACAUACAAAUGUCUUUCCGAUAUGCAUCGACGACUUUUACAAAUCGGGAGGUGUCACGAGCGCUAAAAAAUCCACCAAAGUCAGCAAGAAAAGUGUGGAAUCAUUAUUUGAAAAUUUUAUCAAACAGCUGCGAGGCUUUACUUUUUCGGAUAAUGUAUGUGUAAUGUCUUUUAUAUACAAGUACAGUUUGAGUAUAGAUGUAUUGAUUUAGCAGGCAACAGAAGAUGAUACCGCUAUUUUUUUUUUCUAAAUGAAAAUUAAAUUUUUUAUUAAAAAAAUUGAAAAAAAAAAAAAAUUAAUUCAAUUAUCUUUUUAAUGCAUUAUUCGCAGGGCAGUAAAUUACAAAGCAACAGACAUUUCAAAAAAAUGAAUAUAAUAUAUUUCCUCGAGGAAUACAAUAAAUGUGGCUUAUCUCCACACCAU